This 460-nucleotide ribosomal RNA is filed under the name uncultured bacterium. RNAcentral's name for it is "partial 16S ribosomal RNA". It matches the Rfam family "Bacterial small subunit ribosomal RNA", at positions 338 to 795 of the family's 1533-position model. The record is from RNAcentral.
CCUACGGGAGGCAGCAGUGAGGAAUAUUGGUCAAUGGACGAGAGUCUGAACCAGCCAAGCAGCGUGAAGGAUGACUGCCCUAUGGGUUGUAAACUUCUUUUAUAAAGGAAUAAAACGAGGCACGUGUGCCUUUUUGCAUGUACUUUAUGAAUAAGGAUCGGCUAACUCCGUGCCAGCAGCCGCGGUAAUACGGAGGAUCCGAGCGUUAUCCGGAUUUAUUGGGUUUAAAGGGAGCGUAGAUGGGUUGUUAAGUCAGUUGUGAAAGGUUGGGGCUCAACCGUAAAAUUGCAAUUGAUACUGGCAGUCUUGAGUACAGGUGAGGUAAGCGGAAUUCGUGGUGUAGCGGUGAAAUGCUUAGAUAUCACGAAGAACCCCGAUUGCGAAGGCAGCUUACUAGACUGUGACUGACAUUGAUGCUCGAAAGUGUGGGUAUCAAACAGGAUUAGAUACCCCUGUAGUC